GACGAACGCUGGCGGCGUGCUUAACACAUGCAAGUCGAACGAUGAAGCGGUGCUUGCACCGUGGAUUAGUGGCGAACGGGUGAGUAACACGUGAGUAACCUGCCUUCCACUCUGGGAUAAGCGCUGGAAACGGCGUCUAAUACUGGAUAUGACAUUGCCUCGCAUGGGGUGGUGUGGAAAGAUUUUUUGGUGGUAGAUGGACUCGCGGCCUAUCAGCUUGUUGGUGGGGUAAUGGCCUACCAAGGCGACGACGGGUAGCCGGCCUGAGAGGGUGACCGGCCACACUGGGACUGAGACACGGCCCAGACUCCUACGGGAGGCAGCAGUGGGGAAUAUUGCACAAUGGGCGAAAGCCUGAUGCAGCGACGCCGCGUGAGGGAUGACGGCCUUCGGGUUGUAAACCUCUUCAGCUCUGACGAAA
RNAcentral lists this ribosomal RNA (421 nucleotides) under Arsenicicoccus sp. oral taxon C74. RNAcentral describes it as "bacterial SSU rRNA". It matches the Rfam family "Bacterial small subunit ribosomal RNA", at positions 28 to 450 of the family's 1533-position model. The record is from RNAcentral. Lineage: Bacteria; Bacillati; Actinomycetota; Actinomycetes; Micrococcales; Intrasporangiaceae.